ACUCAGCUACACACGACCGUACCGCAAACCGACACUGGUGCGCGAGAUGAGUAUUCUAAGACGCUUGAGAGAACUCAGGAGAAGGAACUCGGCAAAUUGACACCGUAACUUCGGAAGAAGGUGUGCCUUUAGUAGGUGAACCUGUACAAGGGGAGCCCAAUGAGGUUGCAAAAAAUCGGUGGCUGCGACUGUUUAAUAAAAACACAGCACUCUGCAUACACGAAAGUGGACGUAUAGGGUGUGACGCCUGCCCGGUGCUGGAAGAUUAAAUGAUGGGGUGCAAGCUCUUGAUUGAAGUCCCAGUAAACGGCGGCCGUAACAAUAACGGUCCUAAGGUAGCGAAAUUCCUUGUCGGGUAAGUUCCGACCUGCACGAAUGGCGUAACGAUGGCCACACUGUCUCCUCCUGAGACUCAGCGAAGUUGAAAUGUUUGUGAUGAUGCAAUCUCCCCGCGGAAAGACGGAAAGACCCCAUGAACCUUUACUGUAGCUUUGUAUUGGACUUUGAACAGAUCUGUGUAGGAUAGGUGGGAGGCUUUGAAGUGUGGUCGCUAGAUCGCAUGGAGCCAACGUUGAAAUACCACCCUGGUGUGUUUGAGGUUCUAACCUAGGCCCGUAAUCCGGGUCGGGGACAGUGCAUGGUAGGCAGUUUGACUGGGGCGGUCUCCUCCCAAAGCGUAACGGAGGAGUUCGAAGGUACGCUAGGUACGGUCGGACAUCGUGCUAAUAGUGCAAUGGCAUAAGCGUGCUUAACUGCGAGACUGACAAGUCGAGCAGAUGCGAAAGCAGGACAUAGUGAUCCGGUGGUUCUGUAUGGAAGGGCCAUCGCUCAACGGAUAAAAGGUACUCUGGGGAUAACAGGCUGAUACCGCCCAAGAGUUCAUAUCGACGGCGGUGUUUGGCACCUCGAUGUCGGCUCAUCUCAUCCUGGGGCUGUAGCCGGUCCCAAGGGUAUGGCUGUUCGCCAUUUAAAGAGGUACGUGAGCAGGGUUUAAAACGUCGUGAGACAGUUUGGUCCCUAUCUUCCGUGGGCGCUGCAGAUUUGAGGAAGCCUGCUCCUAGUACGAGAGGACCGGAGUGGACACACCUCUGGUGUAUCGGUUGUCACGCCAGUGGCAUUGCCGAGUAGCUAUGUGUGGAAGAGAUAACCGCUGAAAGCAUCUAAGCGGGAAACUCGUUUCAAGAUGAGAUCUGCCGGGGCCUUGAGCCCCCUAAAGAGUCGUUCAAGACCAGGACGUUGAUAGGUCGGGUGUGGAAGCGCAGUAAUGCGUUAAGCUAACCGAUACUAAUUGCUCGUGCGGCUUGAUC
RNAcentral lists this ribosomal RNA (1307 nucleotides) under metagenome. RNAcentral's name for it is "bacterial LSU rRNA". It matches the Rfam family "Bacterial large subunit ribosomal RNA", at positions 1626 to 2925 of the family's 2925-position model. The record is from RNAcentral.